GGAAUAAACAGUGAUCCCUGUAAGCCGUAAUGAUACAGUCCUUUUUGGUAAUUGCAGCUUCCAUGCCUAUGGCAACGGCCUCCUGGCCGUCGUAGAGGUGGCAGAAUCCGCGGAUGAGUUUCGCCUUGUAGAGCGAAUCAGCGGCGAUCUCCAUCCGCCGCAUCUCCGCCAUGUCUUUGAAGAAAGUCAUGAGUUCGUUGGCGCUUGUCUCGACGGCGCGUGAAGGAGGAUCGAUGUUGUGGCCGGUAAAUGGGAGGCUAGUCUCGACGGUGAUGGUGUCGGACGAUAGGCGGCGCGUGGCGCAGAUGGCGGCGGAUAAUGGCUUUAGAAGGUGGUUAACCGUCCGAUUCGUGGAUAAAGCCAUUCUGAUCGUUGAAUUGUUGUGUAAGUUGUGUGAUGGGAAUGGUUGAUUUUGCAGAUGGAGAAGAAGGGGGUUUGGUGAGGGGAGAGGAAAAAGGAGAAUGUAAAGUAGAGAAUCUCAGCAGCCACUGAACCGGGAAAGAAAUGAAGUUUUUCCCUUAAC
Molecule: long non-coding RNA, 523 nt
Filed under: Nicotiana tabacum (common tobacco)
Lineage: Eukaryota; Viridiplantae; Streptophyta; Magnoliopsida; Solanales; Solanaceae
Description: long non-coding RNA (NTAB_LNC003647)
Source: RNAcentral